UACGGAAGGGGCGAGCGUUGUUCGGAAUCAUUGGGCGUAAAGGGCGCGUAGGUGGUCUUGUAUGUCUACCGUGAAAGCGUACGGCUCAACUGUAUUUUGUCGGUAGAAACUGCAGGACUUGAGGCUGGGAGGGGCUGGUGGAAUUCCCUGUGUAGCGGUGAAAUGCGUAGAGAUGGGGGAGAACACUCGUGGCGAAGGCGGCCAGCUAGACCAGUUCUGACACUGAGGCGCGACAGCGUGGGGAGCAAACAGG
Molecule: ribosomal RNA, 253 nt
Filed under: uncultured bacterium
Lineage: Bacteria
Description: partial 16S ribosomal RNA
Rfam family: Bacterial small subunit ribosomal RNA
Source: RNAcentral